UACGGAGGGUGCAAGCGUUAUCCGGAUUCACUGGGUUUAAAGGGUGCGUAGGUGGAUUAGUAAGUCUGUGGUGAAAUCUCUGAGCUUAACUCGGAAACUGCCAUGGAUACUAUUAGUCUUGAAUCUCCUGGAGGUAAGCGGAAUAUGUCAUGUAGCGGUGAAAUGCUUAGAUAUGACAUAGAACACCAAUUGCGAAGGCAGCUUACUACGGGAGCAUUGACACUGAGGCACGAAAGCGUGGGGAUCAAACAGG
RNAcentral lists this ribosomal RNA (253 nucleotides) under uncultured bacterium. Its description in RNAcentral is "partial 16S ribosomal RNA". It matches the Rfam family "Bacterial small subunit ribosomal RNA", at positions 524 to 776 of the family's 1533-position model. The record is from RNAcentral.